GCAGGCUAUCAGGGAUGCAAUAACUGCAAACUAUUUCAGAUGAAGACGGACGGACAUUACAAGGCACCAUGGGUGACUUGAUCUAUGUAUGGCGUAAUAGUAUUCAGACUGAUGUACGGACAUAGACAAAACAAGUCUUAAAAAUGUGUGUUCAUUUACAUCUGAUAAAGACAAAACAAGUCUAUAAAAUGUGUGUUCAUUUACAUCUGAUAAAGACAAAACAAGUCUAUAAAAUGUGUGUUCAUUUACAUCUGAUAAAGACAAAACAAGUCUUUAAAAUGUGUGUUCAUAAAUAUAUAGUUUAAUAAUUUUGA
Molecule: long non-coding RNA, 314 nt
Organism: Dreissena polymorpha
Lineage: Eukaryota; Metazoa; Mollusca; Bivalvia; Myida; Dreissenidae
Exons: 2
Source: RefSeq, a predicted model, not a curated record